CGAAGGAUGCAAGCGUUAUCCGGAUUCAUUGGGUUUAAAGGGAGCGUAGGCGGCCCGAUAAGUCAGUGGUGAAAUCUCUCGGCUUAACCGAGAAAUUGCCAUUGAUACUGUUGGGCUUGAGUACAGAUGCCGUUGGCGGAAUAUGACAUGUAGUGGUGAAAUACAUAGAGAUGUCAUAGAACACCGAUUGCGAAGGCAGCUAACGAAACUGUAACUGACGCUGAGGCUCGAAAGUGCGGGGAUCAAACAGGAUUAGAUACCCUGGUAGUCCGCACUGUAAACGAUGAUUACUCGCUGCUGGGAGGUAACUUUCAGUGGCUUAGCGAAAGCGAUAAGUAAUCCACCUGGGGAGUACGCCGGCAACGGUG
Molecule: ribosomal RNA, 368 nt
Filed under: uncultured organism
Description: bacterial SSU rRNA
Rfam family: Bacterial small subunit ribosomal RNA
Source: RNAcentral